GGCGGCCAUGAAAAACACUUUCACCUCAAGCAAAUAUAUUGCCGAAUCCGUAUCGUUCAAAAAGCAAUUUUGCCUAGAAAGGCAACAGUAAGCAUGCUGCUAUCAUGAUGAAAAUGUUUUUCAUGGCCCCCAGAAUCUCUCAUGUCCGAAAUCUAACAUAUCUUUGCGCUGAUUACGUUUGCGCGUUUUAUUUUCCGUUGGGGUUAUUAGAAUGGACAGAUCGAGUAACAACAUUUCGGACAGUACAUCCGCCGUAAAUCAGAGUCAUUACAUGCUGAUAAUUUCGGAAUAAUCUCCUUAUGUCAGCAUAAAAGAGGGCAUUUAACGAUCAAUAUGUAUUGACCAUAGCAUGAUCAUGGAAUUACUAUCUACCCAAACACAAUUUUGUCAAGGGAGACAGAUUGGCAUAGAUUGAGAAAUUUGUUGGUUCGUUUCGGGUGUACUUUGGUAAGUUAGAUUCUAUUUUUGUU
Molecule: small RNA, 470 nt
Filed under: Spisula solidissima (Atlantic surf clam)
Lineage: Eukaryota; Metazoa; Mollusca; Bivalvia; Venerida; Mactridae
Description: cnRNA125
Source: RNAcentral